RNAcentral lists this ribosomal RNA (305 nucleotides) under uncultured bacterium. RNAcentral's name for it is "bacterial SSU rRNA". It matches the Rfam family "Bacterial small subunit ribosomal RNA", at positions 337 to 640 of the family's 1533-position model. The record is from RNAcentral.
UCCUACGGGGGGCAGCAGUGAGGAAUAUUGGUCAAUGGUCGGGAGACUGAACCAGCCAAGCCGCGUGAGGGAUGAAGGUACAGAGUAUCGUAAACCUCUUUUGUCAGGGAACAAAGGCGGGGACGUGUCCCCGGAUGAGUGUACCUGAAGAAAAAGCAUCGGCUAACUCCGUGCCAGCAGCCGCGGUAAUACGGAGGAUGCGAGCGUUAUCCGGAUUUAUUGGGUUUAAAGGGUGCGCAGGCGGUCUGUUAAGUCAGCGGUCAAAACCCGGGGCUCAACCCCGGCCCGCCGUUGAAACUGGCAGG